This 496-nucleotide ribosomal RNA is filed under the name uncultured bacterium. Its description in RNAcentral is "partial 16S ribosomal RNA". It matches the Rfam family "Bacterial small subunit ribosomal RNA", at positions 28 to 507 of the family's 1533-position model. The record is from RNAcentral.
GAUGAACGCUGGCGGCGUGCCUAAUACAUGCAAGUCGAGCGAACGGACGAGAAGCUUGCUUCUCUGAUGUUAGCGGCGGACGGGUGAGUAACACGUGGAUAACCUACCUAUAAGACUGGGAUAACUUCGGGAAACCGGAGCUAAUACCGGAUAAUAUUUUGAACCGCAUGGUUCAAAAGUGAAAGACGGUCUUGCUGUCACUUAUAGAUGGAUCCGCGCUGCAUUAGCUAGUUGGUAAGGUAACGGCUUACCAAGGCAACGAUGCAUAGCCGACCUGAGAGGGUAAUCGGCCACACUGGAACUGAGACACGGUCCAGACUCCUACGGGAGGCAGCAGUAGGGAAUCUUCCGCAGUGGGCGAAGGCCUGACGGAGCAACGCCGGGUGGGUGAUGAAGGCCUCGGAUCGUAAAACUCUGUUAUUAGGGAAGAACAUAUGUGUAAGUAACUGUGCACAUCUUGACGGUACCUAAUCAGAAAGCCACGGCUAACUACGUG